GCUAUCCAUGCUGUGAACUUGAAUAUAAUCCGAUAUAACGUUAAAUAUAAAGUUUAACGUUAAUUAGACCGAGGCUGCCGAAAUCAUGUUCAGUGUAACGUUAUGUGGGAUUAAUAAUUUCCCCUUUUCUCCCUCAAGUGGCAGGCUUGUAAAUUCUGUCAUCUGUUCAUUAUUGGUGUUGAUGGUGUUUUUCACAUGCAUGCUUUUUAAUGCUAGUUUAAUUCUCAAAUUGAUCUGAUACUUUCGUUUCACAAAAAGUAAACAAAUUGUUCACUUUCUUAGGGCCUGACAACCACCAGUUGAGUCCAUGAUUCAGGGAAGAGACAGUCUGGGCAGCAGCAACAAGACAACUAUUACAAGUAGAGAUGGGUUUCAAGAACUGACACAACCACAUAUCCUCCAAAUCAUCUCUGCGUGGAUGGCAGCAAGGAUCCAGGAUCAAGAGAUCAUUCUUCAUGGAGACUGUUCCACAGGAAGCAGUUUCUCCUGGGUGAAAAACUAAACCUGGUUGUUUCAGCAUCACUCA
This is a long non-coding RNA of Carassius gibelio (silver crucian carp), 526 nucleotides long. RefSeq lists it as uncharacterized. NCBI's taxonomy places the organism in Eukaryota, Metazoa, Chordata, Actinopteri, Cypriniformes, Cyprinidae. The record is from RefSeq and is a predicted model, not a curated record. The transcript is spliced from 3 exons.